This 497-nucleotide ribosomal RNA is filed under the name uncultured bacterium. Its description in RNAcentral is "partial 16S ribosomal RNA". It matches the Rfam family "Bacterial small subunit ribosomal RNA", at positions 28 to 507 of the family's 1533-position model. The record is from RNAcentral.
GAUGAACGCUGGCGGCGUGCCUAAUACAUGCAAGUCGAGCGAACAGAUAAGGAGCUUGCUCCUUUGACGUUAGCGGCGGACGGGUGAGUAACACGUGGGUAACCUACCUAUAAGACUGGGAUAACUUCGGGAAACCGGAGCUAAUACCGGAUAACAUUUGGAACCGCAUGGUUCUAAAGUGAAAGAUGGUUUUGCUAUCACUUAUAGAUGGACCCGCGCCGUAUUAGCUAGUUGGUAAGGUAACGGCUUACCAAGGCGACGAUACGUAGCCGACCUGAGAGGGGGAUGGGCCACACUGUAGCUGAACCGCGGUCCAGGCUCCUACGGGAGGCAGCAGUAGGGAAUGUUCCGCAAUGGGCGAAAUCUUGACGGAGCAGCGCCGCGUGAGUGAUGAAGGGGUUCGGCUCGUAAGACUCUGUUAUUAGGGAAGAACCAAUGUGUAAGUAACUGUGCUCGUCUUGACGGUACCUAAUCAGAAAGCCACGGCUAACUACGUG